CAGUCGCCGCGGUAAUACGGAGGGUGCAAGCGUUAAUCGGAAUUACUGGGCGUAAAGCGCACGCAGGCGGUUCGUUAAGUCAGAUGUGAAAUCCCCGAGCUUAACUUGGGAACUGCAUUUGAAACUGGCAAGCUAGAGUCUUGUAGAGGGGGGUAGAAUUCCAGGUGUAGCGGCGAAAUGCGUAGAGAUCUGGAGGAAUGCCGGUGGCGAAGGCGGCCCCCUGGACAAAGACUGACGCUCAGGUACGAAAGCGUGGGGAGCAAACAGGAUUAGAUACCCCUGUAGUCCCUGUCUCUUAUAC
RNAcentral lists this ribosomal RNA (301 nucleotides) under uncultured bacterium. Its description in RNAcentral is "partial 16S ribosomal RNA". It matches the Rfam family "Bacterial small subunit ribosomal RNA", at positions 509 to 807 of the family's 1533-position model. The record is from RNAcentral.